GCCCUAGUAGCCCAGUAUUUAAGGCAUCGGUCUUGUAAACCGAAGAGCGGAGGUGAGAUUCCUCUCUAGAGCA
RNAcentral lists this transfer RNA (73 nucleotides) under Dasyatis pastinaca (common stingray). RNAcentral's name for it is "tRNA-Thr". It matches the Rfam family "tRNA". From Rfam's summary of the family: Transfer RNA (tRNA) molecules are approximately 80 nucleotides in length. Their secondary structure includes four short double-helical elements and three loops (D, anti-codon, and T loops). RNAcentral also lists the same sequence under 1 other name. The record is from RNAcentral. Lineage: Eukaryota; Metazoa; Chordata; Chondrichthyes; Myliobatiformes; Dasyatidae.